RNAcentral lists this ribosomal RNA (369 nucleotides) under uncultured organism. Its description in RNAcentral is "bacterial SSU rRNA". It matches the Rfam family "Bacterial small subunit ribosomal RNA", at positions 526 to 896 of the family's 1533-position model. The record is from RNAcentral.
CGUAGGGUGCAAGCGUUAAUCGGAAUUACUGGGCGUAAAGCGUGCGCAGGCGGUUUCGUAAGUCUGUCGUGAAAUCCCCGGGCUCAACCUGGGAAUGGCGAUGGAGACUGCGAGGCUAGAGUUUGGCAGAGGGGGUAGAAUUCCACGUGUAGCAGUGAAAUGCGUAGAGAUGUGGAGGAACACCGAUGGCGAAGGCAGCCCCCUGGGUCAAAACUGACGCUCAUGCACGAAAGCGUGGGGAGCAAACAGGAUUAGAUACCCUGGUAGUCCACGCCCUAAACGAUGUCUACUAGUUGUUGGGUCUUAAUUGACUUAGUAACGCAGCUAACGCGUGAAGUAGACCGCCUGGGGAGUACGGUCGCAAGAUUA